GGACCAGCGGAGCAGCCAGGAGUGCUCACCGGUCUCUCAAUCCGGAGGUCGCGGGUUCGAAUCCCGCCUGGUCUAC
This 76-nucleotide transfer RNA is filed under the name Actinoplanes campanulatus. RNAcentral's name for it is "tRNA-Glu". It matches the Rfam family "tRNA". From Rfam's summary of the family: Transfer RNA (tRNA) molecules are approximately 80 nucleotides in length. Their secondary structure includes four short double-helical elements and three loops (D, anti-codon, and T loops). Further hydrogen bonds mediate the characteristic L-shaped molecular structure. tRNAs have two regions of fundamental functional importance: the anti-codon, which is responsible for specific mRNA codon recognition, and the 3' end, to which the tRNAs corresponding amino acid is attached (by aminoacyl-tRNA synthetases). tRNAs cope with the degeneracy of the genetic code in two manners: having more than one tRNA (with a specific anti-codon) for a particular amino acid; and 'wobble' base-pairing, i.e. permitting non-standard base-pairing at the 3rd anti-codon position. Lineage: Bacteria; Bacillati; Actinomycetota; Actinomycetes; Micromonosporales; Micromonosporaceae. The record is from RNAcentral.